GAUGAACGCUGGCGGCGUGCCUAAUACAUGCAAGUAGAACGCUGAAGGAGGAGCUUGCUCUUCUGGAUGAGUUGCGAACGGGUGAGUAACGCGUAGGUAACCUGCCUGGUAGCGGGGGAUAACUAUUGGAAACGAUAGCUAAUACCGCAUGACAACAGUUAUUGCAUGAUAACUGUUUAAAAGGGGCAACUGCUCCACUACCAGAUGGACCUGCGUUGUAUUAGCUAGUUGGUGAGGUAACGGCUCACCAAGGCGACGAUACAUAGUCGACCUGAGAGGGGGAUCGGCCACACUGGGACUGGGACACGGCCCAGACUCCUACGGGAGGCAGCAGUAGGGAAUCUUCGGGAAUGGACGGAAGUCUGACCGAGCAACGCCGCGUGAGUGAAGAAGGUUUUCGGAUCGUAAAGCUCUGUUGUAAGAGAAGAACGAGUGUGGGAGUGGAAAGUUCACACUGUGACGGUAUCUUACCAGAAAGGGACGGCUAACUACGUG
This 495-nucleotide ribosomal RNA is filed under the name uncultured bacterium. RNAcentral describes it as "partial 16S ribosomal RNA". It matches the Rfam family "Bacterial small subunit ribosomal RNA", at positions 28 to 507 of the family's 1533-position model. The record is from RNAcentral.